GCUAUGACAGCCAAGCGGUUACGGUGUUGGAGUUAAAAUCCAAUAGGGUGUCCCUGCACAGGUUCAAAUCCUGUUCACAGUG
RNAcentral lists this transfer RNA (82 nucleotides) under Pelodiscus sinensis (Chinese soft-shelled turtle). It matches the Rfam family "tRNA". From Rfam's summary of the family: Transfer RNA (tRNA) molecules are approximately 80 nucleotides in length. Their secondary structure includes four short double-helical elements and three loops (D, anti-codon, and T loops). Further hydrogen bonds mediate the characteristic L-shaped molecular structure. tRNAs have two regions of fundamental functional importance: the anti-codon, which is responsible for specific mRNA codon recognition, and the 3' end, to which the tRNAs corresponding amino acid is attached (by aminoacyl-tRNA synthetases). tRNAs cope with the degeneracy of the genetic code in two manners: having more than one tRNA (with a specific anti-codon) for a particular amino acid; and 'wobble' base-pairing, i.e. permitting non-standard base-pairing at the 3rd anti-codon position. The record is from Rfam by way of RNAcentral. Lineage: Eukaryota; Metazoa; Chordata; Testudines; Trionychidae.